This 205-nucleotide long non-coding RNA is filed under the name Mytilus galloprovincialis (Mediterranean mussel). Lineage: Eukaryota; Metazoa; Mollusca; Bivalvia; Mytilida; Mytilidae. The record is from RNAcentral.
GUCCUUUGUAAAUAGAUAGAUUUUUGACUUGCUAUAUGAAUAUUGCCUAUUGGAAUAUUCAUGGUUUAAAUGAAGAUAAAUUUCAGGAUGAUUUGUUUAAUGAAAAUGUUUGUAAAUAUGAUAUAGUUUGUUUUGCAGAAACAAUGUUGAGAGAGUCUCCAGGAAAUCUUCCAGGUUUUACAUCUCCCUAUAUAGUUAAGCCUAU